RNAcentral lists this ribosomal RNA (502 nucleotides) under uncultured bacterium. RNAcentral describes it as "partial 16S ribosomal RNA". It matches the Rfam family "Bacterial small subunit ribosomal RNA", at positions 355 to 872 of the family's 1533-position model. The record is from RNAcentral.
UGGGGAAUAUUGCACAAUGGGCGAAAGCCUGAUGCAGCAACGCCGCGUGAGUGAUGAAGGUCUUCGGAUUGUAAAGCUCUGUCUUUUGGGACGAUAAUGACGGUACCAAAGGAGGAAGCCACGGCUAACUACGUGCCAGCAGCCGCGGUAAUACGUAGGUGGCGAGCGUUGUCCGGAUUUACUGGGCGUAAAGGGUGCGUAGGCGGAUGUUUAAGUGAGAUGUGAAAUACCCGGGCUUAACUUGGGUGCUGCAUUUCAAACUGGAUAUCUAGAGUGCAGGAGAGGAGAAUGGAAUUCCUAGUGUAGCGGUGAAAUGCGUAGAGAUUAGGAAGAACACCAGUGACGAAGGCGAUUCUCUGGACUGUAACUGACGCUGAGGCACGAAAGCGUGGGUAGCAAACAGGAUUAGAUACCCUGGUAGUCCACGCCGUAAACGAUGAGUACUAGGUGUAGGAGGUAUCGACCCCUUCUGUGCCGCAGUAAACACAUUAAAGUACUCCGC